This is a non-coding RNA of Mus caroli (Ryukyu mouse), 909 nucleotides long. NCBI's taxonomy places the organism in Eukaryota, Metazoa, Chordata, Mammalia, Rodentia, Muridae. The record is from the annotation of a RefSeq genome assembly.
AUGCUGCUCCUGAGAUGGUUCACCUCCUGCUGCUGCCUCUGGGUUUUUGGGCUUGGGCAGCUGGAGCAAACUGAAGUAUCGGUCACCAGAGCGACAGAUGAGAGAGCGCAAAUAUCCUGUACAAUUUAUCUUCCAUAUUUCUCCAACACAGCUAUACAUUGGUACCGGCAAAAAACAAAUCAACAGUUUGAGUAUCUAAUAUAUGUUGAGACAAACUACAAUCAACGACCCUUAGGAGGGAAGAACAAAAAAAUUGAAGCAAGUAAAGAUUUUAAAAGUUCUACUUCAACCUUGGAAAUAAAUUACUUGAAGAAAGAAGAUGAAGCCACCUACUACUGUGCAGUCUAUAGAUCGGGCUUUCGCAAGGUAUUUGCAGAAGGAACAAAGCUCAUAGUAAUUCCCUCCAACAAAAGNCUUGAUGCAGACAUUUCCCCCAAGCCCACNAUUUUUCUUCCUUCUGUUGCUGAAANAANUCUCCAUAAGACUGGGACAUACCUUUGUCUCCUUGAAAAGUUCUUUCCCGAUGUCAUAAGGGUGUAUUGGAAAGAAAAGAAUGGCAAUACUAUCCUGGACUCUCAGGAAGGGGAUACACUGAAGACUAAGGACAAAUACAUGAAGUUUAGCUGGCUUACUGUGCCUGUAAGGUCAAUGGGGAAAGAGCACAGAUGUAUUGUCAAACAUGAGAACAACAAAAGAGGAACGGAUCAAGAGAUUUUCUUUCCUUCAAUAAAGAAAGUUGCUACCACUUGCUGGCAAGAUAAAAAUGAUGUGCUGCAGCUCCAGUUCAGGAGCACCUCUGCCUACUACACCUACCUUCUCCUUCUCCUCAAGAGUGUGAUCUACUUGACCAUUAUCAGCUUCUCUCUGCUUAGAAGAACAUCUGUCUGUUGCAAUGAGAAGAGGUCCUAA